GCCUCUGUGACGUCAGCGGUCGGGAACGGAUGCCUGCCCGCGCUCCCAUAAGGCUCCCGUAAGGUAUCCUAGGCCGCAUGCGCAGAACGAAGAGCGGGGCCCGUCGCUGAGGCAGAAUGAGCAGUGCAGAGGCACCAUCGGGGGACCCCCAGGAAGAGGCAGCUGUGGAGGUUCCAGCUGUGGAAGUUCCAGAUGUGGAGGUUCCAGCUGUGGAAGUUCCAGAUGUGGAGGUUCCAGCUGUGGAGAUUCCAGCUGUAGAGGUUGCAAAGGUGCCCAUUGAGGAAAAUGCCAUUCACAUCCCAGCACCACUGCCACCACCUUCCUCCAGUGGAGAGCGAGAAAGGGGGCCCAGCCAGCGUACAGGCUGGCUCCUAGACCUGCUGGAUGAUGUCCGCUAUCUCAUCUCCUGCACCAACUGGUACUAGCAGCUCUCUGUGCCUUCUGCCAACAUGAGCCGGUGCAACGGACAGGCCUUGGCCCAGCCUCACCCUCUCAACAGGGCAGCGGCACCCACCUUGAGGGAAAGCGCCUGCAAGAUCUGUGAUUAAAAGGUCGGGGGUGGGGAAAGAAAUCUUUUUGGACAUUCUUUCUGUGGGAAACUCGGUUGCCCUUUUGAAGCUGCCUUGUUGUCACCUGGUGCAAUUCUAAUAAUGUUCCCUCCGCUUCCUGUGUCAACUGCUGUAAAGCUUUGGGCAACGUCCUGAGUCCAGCCCGGCUAAUUCUGUGCUGUAAUCCCAAGAGCCGCUCUGUUAGGGGCAAAACAAGAGCAACAGAAGUCACAGGUAACCUGCUUGGUCAUGCAUAAGAUGUUUGGAUGAAGGUAGAGGUAGCUGCCCCAUAUGCUAAUUGCGCUGAUGUUUGAUGGAGCAUGUGCACAACCCACAGGCAAGUGCUUAAUCUGCGAGUGCCUUUAUGUCUUCCCAAUGCCAAUGUCAGUCUCUCUCUCAUCCUGGUAAACCCCACUAGAGAUUGGUUCUAACCCUCUUCCUCACUACUGUAAUAUACUUUUAACAGCCCUACCAUGGCAAGAGGAAUACGAACUAUAUUACAGCGCUUUAACGAUGAGAAGUGCAAUGCUGUGACUUUGAUUUUAUGGGUGAACAGUGGGGAGCACAAUUUAUCCUCUAGGGUCACAAAGCACGUGCAAGUGGGUCGCAGGCUUUAUAAGCUGACCCUAAAUCAUUACAGUGCUAUCUCGGUUUAAGACCAGUCCAGUUUAAGAACGACUUGGUUUACAAAGUUACAGGUAGGUAGCCGUGUUGGUCUGAUGCAGUCAAGACAAAAUUAAAAAAUCCUUCCAGUAGCACCAAAGCUCGUACCUUUGAUAAACUUAGUUGGUCUCUAAGGUGCUACUGGAAGGAUUUUUAAAAUUUUGUUUUGGUUUACAAACUCCACAAAACCGGAAAUAGUGUCUUGGUUUGAGAACUUUACUUCGGUCUAAGAAUGGAAUCCGAACGGUGGAAGGGCACUGGUGGCGGGAGGCCUCAUUAGGGAAAGUGUGCCUCAGUUUAAGAAUGGUUUUGGUUUGAGAACGGACUUCUGGAACAGAUUAAGUUUGUAAACCGAGGUACCACUGCACUGCUUUAAUCCUUAACCGGUAUGAUGUAUACCUCUUCAAACCUGUUGUUUUAUUGACACCAGUAACUGAGUGUCGGAAAGGCUCCAGUCCUGGGAAACUUUCUGACGGCAGGCAGCAGAUCCAGUAACAGUUGUUUUGAGUACAACUGCUCAUUUCUGAUGUGCAGGCAGCAAAAGCAGCAACUACUUUACAUAUCAGAGGCAAGCUAUAGUAGUCACUCAAAACGACUCCAUGUACGAGGACCUUGUGAUGAGCUGUCACCAAAUCUGCCACCAGGCUGAGUUAAUAGUUAAGCCACGGGUGAUUUGAAAUUUGCUUAGUCAAAGUUUUUCCAUUACUUUCCUGCUGGAAAAAACAGAGAAGUCUGAGUGACAUCGCUCUGAUGUCACAGAGCUGUAUUUGUACAAGUGCAACUCUUUGAACUGACACGUGAUAGAUAGGACCUUCAAAUAUUAAUAUUUGGAGGUGAGGUUAUCUAAAUUUUGGCUUCAAGUGACCAAAAUUACUCAGUUAUCAUUGAGUAUCCUGAGCCUGCUGGUGAAGCAAUUUCUGUGCUGCUGCCAUUUGGUGGCACACAUCUUUGCAAUGAGGGUUUUUCAGCAAUUAUUGCUAUGAAGACAAAGCACAGUAGCAGGUGAUGAGUCAGUAAUGAUCUGAGACUGUGUCUGACCCUCAUCAAACCCUGCAUUGACCUACGUCGGCAGAAUGCAUUGCUCAGCAGGCCAUUGUCAGUUCUACCACCUCCUUUAGGUGCAACCAUAAAAGUCCCUGUGCUCCCUGGAAAACUCUGUUGGACACACAUUGAGGAUGCAAUGGAGGCAGCAAAGAAUGUCUUUGUUGCCUUCAAUGCCACUGAGGAGGAUCAAUAAUGAGUUGAAGUUAUUGGUUAUUAAACGUCAUCAUGCCUCUUCCAAAAGUUAACUUGUAGAGCACAAUCUUGUUCAUGUUUAAUUAAAAAUAAAACCUGCUAAGGAACUUUUCAAGCAUUAUCAAAA
RNA transcript from Zootoca vivipara (common lizard), 2574 nucleotides. RefSeq lists it as uncharacterized. The record is from RefSeq and is a predicted model, not a curated record. NCBI's taxonomy places the organism in Eukaryota, Metazoa, Chordata, Lepidosauria, Squamata, Lacertidae.